Oryctolagus cuniculus (rabbit) is the source of this 2290-nucleotide non-coding RNA. The record is from RefSeq and is a predicted model, not a curated record. NCBI's taxonomy places the organism in Eukaryota, Metazoa, Chordata, Mammalia, Lagomorpha, Leporidae.
UCCUGGAGUCAAGGCUAUUGAGUGGGAGGACUCUUCAGGAGUUCAUUUUCUCCUUGAUAGCGGACAGACCUCAGCAAAGAUGAGCAGAGCUCUGAUCCUCUGUGUUUUCCUCUUGGUUUUCUGGCAAGAUACCAAGCCUCACCCUAUCAACCUGAUCGAAGGCCCAGCCAAUAAAUUUUCCUCAAGCAUUAAAAAUGAGGAUGAAGGUUUGGCUAAACUAUUUGAUGAAAUCCUACUGCAAGUGUUGUCCAAAGGCCCGUACGAUGCACCGUUUGAGGAUGCAAGAACGGCAGACAAAUUACUUGCCCUGAAAGACAUGGAAGAAGGUUUUCCCCAACCGAAGAACUUGACCAAUUCGGAAUUUGUAUCAAGUUCUGAUCUGGAAGAAGAAAAUUUGGCCAAAUUAUUUGAUGAAAUUCUGCUGCAAGUGUUGUCCAAAACUCCGUAUGAUGUACCGUUUGAGGAGGCGAGAACAACUGGCAAAUCAAUGACAAAGAGAGAAGUAAAUGAAGGAGUUAGCAACGCUUGGAAUUCUGAGCCGGACUAUUUCCUCGGCACCGCGGACAGAAUUGCCGAUAACGAUCACAUUUCAGAAGAGAGAAGGAUUAAAGAACCCUCCCUAUUCCACAGAGAUGUGAAUAACCAAUUAACUACUGUCACUAGCGGAACAGCUGAAGGCGCAGUGAGCCCAGACAGUCGCAACGGGAACAUGCCCUGUGCACAGCUCCUGCACUUCCUGCGAAAGAACAUCAUCAUCACCGCCUUCUCCGUGGCCGCCAUCCUUGCUGUCACGGUCAUGCUGCUGCUCAUGUUGACCUCGUACGUCAGGAGCAGGCAGCCCCUGUGAGUGGCUCCUAGCGCCCGCCCUUCCACCCGGGACUCGUGGGUGCUGGCACUGAAGCUGCCCCACCCUCCCCCGAAGCUUCCUGGAUUGGGGAGGAGGAGAGUGGGGGCUCUCUAGGCCGGGCUGUGUGCGGACAUCACCUGUGGGCUUGGAAGAGGACGCGUGCCCUGGAUCCUGGGCCCUGUCUGCCUGACUGAUGCACACCAGUCUUCCUGGACUGGGCUGUGCCCAUCCGGCUACUGAAAGAGGAGACUGUGUCAUGUCUGGCAUGAAGAUGGAAAAAUAGCCAAUGCACAGAGAAAGGAAAGGAAGUACACAGCUCCGAGAGGUGGGGUGGGGAGGGAUGUGAGCAAGCUGGUGUGCACCUAGGGCCCGUGGUGGAGCUGCUCUGGUCGUUAGAAUAUUGCAGAAGGCUCCACGGGUCCCUCUACAGCCACUUCAAGAACCUCCCCCCACCCACCCACCCCUGAUCCUGCACGUGAAGGGUUAAUGCCUGGUACAGCAGUGGCCUUGAGAGGCCAGGCUCUACCAGUGGGCCCUUGGGCUGGCAGAGCCUAUGUGCACCAUUGUUCAGUGUUUUGAUGAAACCACUGGGUGACAGGGCUCAAGCAUGGAACACUGGAAGCAACUAGUGUGCAAGACUGGGCACUCACUGUGUAAGUGAGUCACUGCGUUUGGAAAUUCUAUGCUGUGGGCUGCGCGGCUGGGGACGUGGUCACAGAGGGCAGAGCAGCUCCCCCACAGGCCCCUCACUGUGUCGGGGGCUCAGCGUGUCCCCCGAGAGAGGGGACUGGGGCUGUGUGACGACGCUGAAGUGGCUGCUUCUGAGGCUGCGGUAUUUCCAUUUCCCCACAAGAAGGGCGUUGCUUUCUCUAGAUGCCAGGAGUGCUCCAGGGGUCCUGCGACUGGUGACUCCUUGAAGGGGUUAGACAUGACUUGUUUCAGAGCGCCUGAAAGUAAGCGUGGCCCUGUUUCACAAUUCUGAAUAUGGCUCAUCUUUCCGACGGGCCAUUUCCCCUCCACGCCCCUUGUACCCGUCCAGCUCACGGAGACAUAGCUGUACAUGGCCUGGGUUAGUCGUGGACAAGUGUUUUCCAGAAAGGGAUAUUGCAGAGGCUCUGUGGGGGCCAGAGGUGGCAGGGAUUUUUUAAUUUAAUUUAAUUUAAUUUUUUUAUUUUUUUUGACAGGCAGAGUGGACAGUGAGAGAGAGAGACAGAGAGAAAGGUCUUCCUUUGCCGUUGGUUCACCCUCCAAUGGCCGCCGCAGCUGGCGCACCGCGCUGAUCUGAUGGCAGGAGCCAGAUACCCGCCGGCAAACAUGACCUAUAACAUUUUCAUCAUGAAUGGCAAGACUUGGUGGCAGAAGUCUCCAGAUAAGAAUCUCAGGAAGUUUUCUGGGAAGCAGAAGCUUCUGAAAAGCAAUUCUUGUGUCUAAGGCAGGUGGUGG